GGAAGUUAGGGGGGACAGUUGGUCAAUGAGGAGAAAAGGAAGCAGCCACAGACAGUUGAGGAACUUUUGCCUCUGGGAUCUCUAGAGAGCAGGAGGUCUGUCUCUGAGGCAAGGAUCUGCUGACAGUUGGCUACUGACAGUUGGGUUGCUAUAGAAAACAGAUUGAAGGAGUGAGUGAUAUGCAUGGUGAAAUUCUGCCACUGCUGCCUAUGAGUCACUCUCUGAAGCAAUGAAGCACAGUGGAGGACAUGGACCUGCUGACAGGGAGUGGAGGCCUAAGCCAAGUUCUUGAGGUACUCACCCAGUCUCCAGCAGAGAGGUGGCAUUUCCACUGAGAGUAGAGCCAAAAAAAUUGACAGGAGAGAGGAUGGAGCACAGGAGACAAUCUUAUGAAUAUGAGCUAGGGAAGGGCUGCUUGGUGUAAUGCACUUCACAGGACUUGGAGUGAAGAAAGAUGUGACCUAGAAUCCUACCAGAGAUCCAUCCUAGCUGGGUAACCACUGACAACUUGUCUGGGCUUCGGUUUUCUCAACUAAAAAAUGGAGGAAAUCUCCCCGGUCAUCUCAAUUCUCAGGAUUUCUUCUCCGGUCUCAAUUCUUUACCAUCUCUUUCAAAUACAGUAUGGAUUCUCCUUCAACUUUGCAGCUGCUGUUAAAGAUCAUGGUAGAACCAACUAGAAUGGACUUGAGCUAAAGACCAGGCCUAGGGGGAGUUUUAAAACAGACAUGAGAAGCCUUGGGUUCAAGAAGACAUAGAGAGCAUCCAGAAGGAAGUAAGAAGCCCCCAACCCAAGAAUCCAGCUCAAUUCCAGCCACAGGAUUUUUAGAAGAUGAGAGCAAAUGUCUACGUGUGGAAUGGGCUUAGAGUAGCCAUCACAAUAGCAUGACAAAAUUUUAGAGUAACAGAUUUUGAGUUGGAAGGAUUCAUUCACUCCUCUUAUUUUUUAGGUAAAGACGAUUUCUGGAUUACUGAAGAAUAAAGAUAUUACUAGAC
Monodelphis domestica (gray short-tailed opossum) is the source of this 993-nucleotide long non-coding RNA. RefSeq lists it as uncharacterized. Lineage: Eukaryota; Metazoa; Chordata; Mammalia; Didelphimorphia; Didelphidae. The record is from RefSeq and is a predicted model, not a curated record.